UAAGGGGGCUAGUAAUAUUGACCUCAAAAUCGAUCACCAAGGUCACCCACUGAAGCUAAGCAGGGCUGCGCCCGGUCAGUACCAGGAUGGGAGACCACAUGGGAAAGCUAGGUUGCUGCCGGAA
This is a non-coding RNA of Danio rerio (zebrafish), 124 nucleotides long. The record is from Rfam. NCBI's taxonomy places the organism in Eukaryota, Metazoa, Chordata, Actinopteri, Cypriniformes, Danionidae.